This is a small nucleolar RNA of Panthera leo (lion), 113 nucleotides long. Lineage: Eukaryota; Metazoa; Chordata; Mammalia; Carnivora; Felidae. The record is from Ensembl.
UCUGUCCCUGGCAAACAGGGGAGCUGGCCCCUGAAGGGACAGGGUGGUAGAGAAAAGACAGGCGUCUGUGCCCAGAGGUGCUGACUGGUGAGGACGUGCUGCUGCCUGACAUU